Molecule: ribosomal RNA, 234 nt
Filed under: Bulleribasidiaceae sp.
Lineage: Eukaryota; Fungi; Basidiomycota; Tremellomycetes; Tremellales; Bulleribasidiaceae
Description: partial large subunit ribosomal RNA
Source: RNAcentral
AAACGAUUGAAGUCAGUCGUGUUUGUUGGUUUCAGCUGUCUCUGACAGUGUAUUACCUUCAAACGGGUCAACAUCGGUUAGACUCGGCGGAUAAAGGCAGGAGGAAGGUGGCACCCUCGGGUGUGUUAUAGCCUCUUGUUGCAUACGCUGGGUUUGACCGAGGCUUGCGGUGUGCCUCACGGCGACCUUUACGGUUCUACACACCUAGGAUGUUGGCAAAAUGGCUUUAAACGA